GCUCCACAGGAAGUCUCCUCUCAGGAUCAAAUUCUCUCUCCUCAGGAAGUCUCCCUCAGGAUUGGGUCAUUUGUCCUCAGGUGGUCUCCCUCAGGAUCACGUCGUCUCUCCUCAGGUAGUCCUCCUCAGAUCAGGUCAUCUCUCUUCAGGAAUGAUUUUCUCCCUGUGUUUUCUGUCUUUCUGGAAGUUAUGGAAGAACUGUUUUUGGCCACUUGGAUCGUUCUUCUAAUUUCAUUAUGUUUUUUUCUACCUUGAUCUUUCUGAUAUGCUUUCUAGGAAUUUUCUUUAACUUUGUAUUUCAACACUUCUGUUGUUUUUUUGCUUUGGUCAGUAUAUUGUAACUAUCCAAGAGCUCUUUUUUGUUGUUGUUUUUAAUAGCACCCUUUUUCUAUGGAUACGAUAAUGUAUUAUCUUUUGAAGAUAUUAGUAAUAGUUGUGGGUUUUUUCUUCUUGUUUUUUAAGUUUCCUUCUUGCAUAAUGCUCAUCUCCUCCAGCUUUCGGCCUCUGAGGCUGGUUUUGGUCUGUCUCAAUUACAGGCUUCCCACGAACACUGGUGCGGCUCAGCUGUGCCCUCGUGUUUAGGACUAGGACACCGAGGGUAGGGGACACCGGGUGAUGGGCCAACUUGGUCUUUGUCUUCACCUGAAGGUGUUCUCCUGCCUUCAGUGUUCUAGCGCUUUCCUCCCAGGCUGGUUGUUUUCCGUCGAGCCACCUUGCCCCUCUGCCCCGCGCCCCCUUCCCUGUCCCCGGCCAGGUAGCCGUGGGGAGGGCCCGGGAUCUCAGCCUUCCCGAGCCCUGUGGGCUCCCGAGUGCGGCUCAGUGCCACAUCCAGCCCCCUGGCGUCUGCCAGUUCAGUUCUCACUCAUCCAUUUGCUUUGCACUUCUAGAAUCCAGCUGCUGCUGCUGCGCUCCAUCGGUCACCACCUGCCGGGCCUGUGAGGGCUCGGAGCGCGGCACGCUUCCCGUCCGCCAUCUUUCACCUGAUGGGUCCUGGCCUGUUUUCUGCGUGCUUUAACUUAACUGAGAUGAUACUCUGUACCCUGCUUUUAAAAAAGCCUCCAUCCUAACAGUGUAACAUCUCAUGCUUAUAAAAACUACGAAAACGUU
Molecule: non-coding RNA, 1107 nt
Organism: Equus caballus (horse)
Lineage: Eukaryota; Metazoa; Chordata; Mammalia; Perissodactyla; Equidae
Source: RefSeq, a predicted model, not a curated record